GACGAACGCUGGCGGCGUGCUUAACACAUGCAAGUCGAACGAUGAACCCGGAGCUUGCUCCGGCGGAUUAGUGGCGAACGGGUGAGUAACACGUGAGUAACCUGCCCUUGACUCUGGGAUAACUGCGGGAAACUGUAGCUAAUACCGGAUACGACCCUCGGCGGCAUCGCCAGGGGGUGGAAAGAAUUUCGGUCAAGGAUGGACUCGCGGCCUAUCAGCUAGUUGGUGAGGUAACGGCUCACCAAGGCGACGACGGGUAGCCGGCAUGAGAGGGUGACCGGCCACACGGGGACUGAGACACGGCCCAGACUCCUACGGGAGGCAGCAGUGGGGAAUAUUGCACAAUGGGCGCAAGCCUGAUGCAGCAACGCCGCGUGAGGGAUGACGGCCUUCGGGUUGUAAACCUCUUUUAGUAGGGAAGAAGCGAAAGUGACGGUACCUGCAGAAAAAGCACCGGCUAACUACGUGCCAGCCGCCGCCGUAA
RNAcentral lists this ribosomal RNA (484 nucleotides) under uncultured bacterium. Its description in RNAcentral is "partial 16S ribosomal RNA". It matches the Rfam family "Bacterial small subunit ribosomal RNA", at positions 28 to 523 of the family's 1533-position model. The record is from RNAcentral.